AUGGGGUGCUUUCUUUGCACGAAAUCCUUAACUAUACCCAUGUUAAAAAAAAGAGUGGGCAUAGUACUAAAACUUGACUUUGAAAAAGCACAUGACAAAGUCAAUUGGGAAUUUCUUCCAGAGUGCCAUAGGAUGCAUGGGUUCAAUGAAACAUGGUGUGGAUGGGUCAAGCAAAUUCUGUAUAAUGGUACACUUAGCAUCAAAUUAAACAAUUGUGUAGGCCCCUACUUCCAGAGUGCUAAGGGGAUGCGGCAGGGUGAUCCACACUCCCCAUUCAUGUUUAAUCUUGCUGCUGAGUGCCUGACCAAAAUGAUUAAAAACGCCAAGAGAAACAAAUUGAUUACUGGCCUAGCCCCUGAUCUUAUUCCUGAUGGGGUUGCCGUAUUACAAUACGCGGAUGAUACCAUAAUUUGCUUCCAG
RNAcentral lists this ribosomal RNA (420 nucleotides) under Triticum aestivum (bread wheat). RNAcentral's name for it is "partial small subunit ribosomal RNA". The record is from RNAcentral. Lineage: Eukaryota; Viridiplantae; Streptophyta; Magnoliopsida; Poales; Poaceae.